Molecule: ribosomal RNA, 433 nt
Filed under: uncultured bacterium
Lineage: Bacteria
Description: partial 16S ribosomal RNA
Rfam family: Bacterial small subunit ribosomal RNA
Source: RNAcentral
AACGAACGCUGGCGGCAUGCCUAACACAUGCAAGUCGAACGAGACCUUCGGGUCUAGUGGCGCACGGGUGCGUAACGCGUGGGAACCUGCCCUUAGGUUCGGAAUAACUCCCCGAAAGGGGUGCUAAUACCGGAUAAUGUCUUCGGACCAAAGAUUUAUCGCCUUUGGAUGGGCCCGCGUUGGAUUAGCUAGUUGGUAGGGUAAAAGCCUACCAAGGCGACGAUCCAUAGCUGGUCUGAGAGGAGGAUCAGCCACACUGGGACUGAGACACGGCCCAGACUCCUACGGGAGGCAGCAGUGGGGAAUAUUGGACAAUGGGCGAAAGCCUGAUCCAGCAAUGCCGCGUGAGUGAUGAAGGCCUUAGGGUUGUAAAGCUCUUUUACCCGGGAUGAUAAUGACAGUACCGGGAGAAUAAGCACCGGCUAACUCCGUG